This 497-nucleotide ribosomal RNA is filed under the name uncultured bacterium. RNAcentral describes it as "partial 16S ribosomal RNA". It matches the Rfam family "Bacterial small subunit ribosomal RNA", at positions 28 to 507 of the family's 1533-position model. The record is from RNAcentral.
GAUGAACGCUGGCGGCGUGCCUAAUACAUGCAAGUCGAGCGAACGGACGAGAAGCUUGCUUCUCUGAUGUUAGCGGCGGACGGGUGAGUAACACGUGGAUAACCUACCUAUAAGACUGGGAUAACUUCGGGAAACCGGAGCUAAUACCGGAUAAUAUUUUGAACCGCAUGGUUCAAAAGUAAAAGACGGUCUUGCUGUCACUUAUAGAUGGAUCCGCGCUGCAUUAGCUAGUUGGUAAGGUAACGGCUUACCAAGGCAACGAUGCAUAGCCGACCUGAGAGGGUGAUCGGCCACACUGGAACUGAGACACGGUCCAGACUCCUACGGGAGGCAGCAGUAGGGAAUCUUCCGCAAUGGGCGAAAGCCUGACGGAGCAACGCCGCGUGAGUGAUGAAGGUCUUCGGAUCGUAAAACUCUGUUAUUAGGGAAGAACAUAUGUGUAAGUAACUGUGCACAUAUUGACGGUACCUAAUCAGAAAGCCACGGCUAACUACGUG